GCAGGGGAUAGCCCGACGGGGCAAAAAGCGGGAUUCGUCCUUAUCCGUUUCCCCUGCACCACCAAAGGAC
Molecule: non-coding RNA, 70 nt
Filed under: unclassified sequences
Description: int-alpA RNA
Rfam family: int-alpA RNA
About the family: Acidobacteria (1 example), Planctomycetes (1 example), Proteobacteria.
Source: Rfam by way of RNAcentral